RNAcentral lists this ribosomal RNA (253 nucleotides) under uncultured bacterium. RNAcentral describes it as "partial 16S ribosomal RNA". It matches the Rfam family "Bacterial small subunit ribosomal RNA", at positions 524 to 776 of the family's 1533-position model. The record is from RNAcentral.
UACGGAGGAUGCAAGCGUUAUCCGGAAUCAUUGGGUUUAAAGGGUCCGUAGGUGGAUUGGUCAGUCAGAGGUGAAAUCCUGCAGCUUAACUGUAGAACUGCCUUUGAUACUGCUAAUCUUGAGUCAUUAUGAAGUAGUUAGAAUAUGUAGUGUAGCGGUGAAAUGCAUAGAUAUUACAUAGAAUACCAAUUGCGAAGGCAGAUUACUAAUAAUGUACUGACACUGAUGGACGAAAGCGUGGGGAGCGAACGGG